Marasmius tenuissimus is the source of this 98-nucleotide non-coding RNA. The record is from the annotation of a GenBank genome assembly. Lineage: Eukaryota; Fungi; Basidiomycota; Agaricomycetes; Agaricales; Marasmiaceae.
GCUGAGAUGGCCGAGUGGUCUAAGGCGCGUGACUUAAGUUUCUAUGCUUCUGUAUCUCGUGGCUCAUUGCCGCGUGGGUUCGAACCCCACUCUCAGCA